This 729-nucleotide long non-coding RNA is filed under the name Chrysemys picta bellii (western painted turtle). RNAcentral's name for it is "lncRNA (ENSCPBG00000008742.1)". Lineage: Eukaryota; Metazoa; Chordata; Testudines; Emydidae. The record is from RNAcentral.
GUCCUCUCUCCUCCCUGCUUUCUCCUCAUUGGUGUUUCCUUCUUCUUAGAUUCCAGAGCUUGUUUUUGUUCUCAGCAGCCUUUCCAGGGUGAGGUGGCUUCAAUUCCCCAUUGGAAAUCUGAAUGAAGCUGCAGUUUGCUCAGGAAGGGAAGAAAGAAAAGUUUAGAUCUGGCUUUAGCAACAGACAGAUGCACUUCUGAUUUCUUCAGGCACAAAGAAGAUGUGUUUGCUGACGUUAUACUUCACCUGAAAAGGAAAAGAAAAUCCGUUAAAGACAGAAGAGUGGAAAUAUUACUUGAAUUUUCCAACAGGGCUAGCAUAGUGUAAUGCUUAUUGCUACAGAUGCAGAAUGACUGCUUCAGGCUUAUUUCCCUAUGCCUCCCACCAAAGGGACUAAGGGCCAAAUGGAGGUGGUCUCUUUGACAUCGACACAAGUAGAAAAAGGCAUCCAGGAUGGAAAUCCAGUACACAACCAUUGCAUCCUGCUCCUGUAUUCCCCCUGGACCCAGCUCCUGUAUUCCCCCCUGGACCCAUGAUGUUCAUAUUCUACAGACCUCAUAAAGGAUUCUUCAAUGCUGUAAGUACUAGUAUCAGAUCUGCUCAAACAGAGCAUCAUGAAGAACAAGCAUAAAGAUUGAAUCCUAUUAAUCAUGGUCUUGGGAAGCUCCAAGCAAAAUAUCUUCUAAAUAAUUAGGGCCAAAAAAUAGGCUUUGCAUACUAAAUUAUGUC